ACUGACACUCGGAUUAAGAUA
Molecule: microRNA, 21 nt
Filed under: Oreochromis niloticus (Nile tilapia)
Lineage: Eukaryota; Metazoa; Chordata; Actinopteri; Cichliformes; Cichlidae
Description: oni-miR-10813
Source: miRBase by way of RNAcentral